This 482-nucleotide ribosomal RNA is filed under the name uncultured bacterium. RNAcentral describes it as "partial 16S ribosomal RNA". It matches the Rfam family "Bacterial small subunit ribosomal RNA", at positions 30 to 507 of the family's 1533-position model. The record is from RNAcentral.
AUUGAACGCUGGCGGCAUGCCUUACACAUGCAAGUCGAACGGUAACGGGCCUUCGGGUGCCGACGAGUGGCGAACGGGUGAGUAAUACAUCGGAACGUGCCCGAUCGUGGGGGAUAACGAGGCGAAAGCUUUGCUAAUACCGCAUACGAUCUACGGAUGAAAGCAGGGGACCGCAAGGCCUUGCGCGGACGGAGCGGCCGAUGACAGAUUAGGUAGUUGGUGGGAUAAAAGCUUACCAAGCCGACGAUCUGUAGCUGGUCUGAGAGGAUGAUCAGCCACACUGGGACUGAGAAACGGCCCAGACUCCUACGGGAGGCAGCAGUGGGGAAUUUUGGACAAUGGGCGCAAGCCUGAUCCAGCCAUGCCGCGUGCAGGGUGAAGGCCUUCGGGUUGUAAACUGCUUUUGUACGGAACGAAAAGCCUUCUUUUAAUACAGGAGGGUCAUGACGGUACCGUAAGAAUAAGCACCGGCUAACUACGUG